UGGGGAAUAUUGGACAAUGGGCGCAAGCCUGAUCCAGCAAUGCCGCGUGAGUGAUGAAGGCCUUAGGGUUGUAAAGCUCUUUCGGCGGGGACGAUGAUGACGGUACCCGCAGAAGAAGCCCCGGCUAACUUCGUGCCAGCAGCCGCGGUAAUACGAAGGGGGCAAGCGUUGUUCGGAAUUACUGGGCGUAAAGGGCGCGCAGGCGGCCUGACAAGUCAGAUGUGAAAGCCCCGGGCUCAACCUGGGAAUAGCAUUUGGGACUGUUGGGCUAGAGAUCGGGAGAGGAGAGUGGAAUUCCCAGUGUAGAGGUGAAAUUCGUAGAUAUUGGGAAGAACACCGGUGGCGAAGGCGGCUCUCUGGACCGAUACUGACGCUGAGGCGCGAAAGCGUGGGGAGCAAACAG
RNAcentral lists this ribosomal RNA (403 nucleotides) under uncultured bacterium. RNAcentral's name for it is "bacterial SSU rRNA". It matches the Rfam family "Bacterial small subunit ribosomal RNA", at positions 355 to 775 of the family's 1533-position model. The record is from RNAcentral.